GACGAACGCUGGCGGCGCGCCUAACACAUGCAAGUCGAACGAGCGAGAGAGAGCUUGCUUUCUCGAGCGAGUGGCGAACGGGUGAGUAACGCGUGAGGAACCUGCCUCAAAGAGGGGGACAACAGUUGGAAACGACUGCUAAUACCGCAUAAGCCCACGGUGCCGCAUGGCACAGAGGGAAAAGGAGCAAUCCGCUUUGAGAUGGCCUCGCGUCCGAUUAGCUAGUUGGUGAGGUAACGGCCCACCAAGGCGACGAUCGGUAGCCGGACUGAGAGGUUGAACGGCCACAUUGGGACUGAGACACGGCCCAGACUCCUACGGGAGGCAGCAGUGGGGAAUAUUGCACAAUGGGGGAAACCCUGACGCAGCGACGCCGCGUGGAGGAAGAAGGUCUUCGGAUUGUAAACUCCUGUUGUUGGGGAAGAUAAUGACGGUACCCAACAAGGAAGUGACGGCUAACUACGUGCCAGCAGCCGCGGUAAAACGUAGGUCACGAGCGUUGUCCGGAAUUACUGGGUGUAAAGGGAGCGCAGGCGGGAAGACAAGUUGGAAGUGAAAUCUAUGGGCUCAACCCAUAAACUGCUUUCAAAACUGUUUUUCUUGAGUAGUGCAGAGGUAGGCGGAAUUCCCGGUGUAGCGGUGGAAUGCGUAGAUAUCGGGAGGAACACCAGUGGCGAAGGCGGCCUACUGGGCACCAACUGACGCUGAGGCUCGAAAGUGUGGGUAGCAAACAGGAUUAGAUACCCUGGUAGUCCACACCGUAAACGAUGAUUAAUAGGUGUUGGAGGAUUGACCCCUUCAGUGCCGCAGUAACACAAUAAGUA
Molecule: ribosomal RNA, 824 nt
Filed under: uncultured bacterium
Lineage: Bacteria
Description: bacterial SSU rRNA
Rfam family: Bacterial small subunit ribosomal RNA
Source: RNAcentral